UGGGGAAUUUUGGACAAUGGGGGCAACCCUGAUCCAGCAAUGCCGCGUGUGUGAAGAAGGCCUUCGGGUUGUAAAGCACUUUUGUCCGGAAAGAAACGCCGUGGUUAAUACCCGUGGCGGAUGACGGUACCGGAAGAAUAAGCACCGGCUAACUACGUGCCAGCAGCCGCGGUAAUACGUAGGGUGCAAGCGUUAAUCGGAAUUACUGGGCGUAAAGCGUGCGCAGGCGGUCCGCUAAGACAGAUGUGAAAUCCCCGGGCUUAACCUGGGAACUGCAUUUGUGACUGGCAGGCUAGAGUAUGGCAGAGGGGGGUAGAAUUCCACGUGUAGCAGUGAAAUGCGUAGAGAUGUGGAGGAAUACCGAUGGCGAAGGCAGCCCCCUGGGCCAAUACUGACGCUCAUGCACGAAAGCCGUGGGGGAGCAAAACAGGAUUAGAUACCCCUGGUAGUUCCACGCCCUAAACGAUGUCAACUAGUUGUCGGGUCUUCAUUGACUUGGUAACGUAGCUAACGCGUGAAGUUGGACCGCCUGGGGAGUACGGUCGCAAGAUUAAAAACUCAAAUGAAUUGACGGGGUCAUAGCUGUUUCCAU
RNAcentral lists this ribosomal RNA (592 nucleotides) under uncultured bacterium. RNAcentral's name for it is "partial 16S ribosomal RNA". It matches the Rfam family "Bacterial small subunit ribosomal RNA", at positions 355 to 938 of the family's 1533-position model. The record is from RNAcentral.